RNAcentral lists this long non-coding RNA (235 nucleotides) under Lathyrus oleraceus (garden pea). RNAcentral describes it as "Pisum sativum (pea) long non-coding RNA (PSAT_LNC003553)". Lineage: Eukaryota; Viridiplantae; Streptophyta; Magnoliopsida; Fabales; Fabaceae. The record is from RNAcentral.
UUUUCAUAUUUGCUUUGCGGACAGUGGGUUUUAUUCAUGUACGCACACCAUCAUUGUCUUUAUUUGCCCAAUGAUUUGUCUUCCAAUUGCUUGCUUGGGAACCGACUUGGCAUGAACACGUCAUGAAUGAGUUUAAUACCAAGUCACAUUAACUCUUUGUAUAUAUGUACCUUGAUGUAAAAAUGAAACUUUGAUAUUUAAUGAUUGUUUAUGAAUGAAUGACAUUGAAUGCGAG